This is a long non-coding RNA of Magnolia sinica, 295 nucleotides long. RefSeq lists it as uncharacterized. The transcript is spliced from 3 exons. NCBI's taxonomy places the organism in Eukaryota, Viridiplantae, Streptophyta, Magnoliopsida, Magnoliales, Magnoliaceae. The record is from RefSeq and is a predicted model, not a curated record.
CAAUCUCUUAACGUUUCCACUUUUGUUAUGCAGGUAUUGAAGGAGAGUUUUAAAAUAUAUUGUUCCAUGAAUGAUGGAAUCAUCAAUCUUGUGGAUAUGUUUUUUGAUAUGUCAAGACAUGAUGCUGUCAAAGCCCUCAACAUUUAUAAAAGAGCAGGCCACCAGGCACAAAAUCUUGCUGAUUUUUACGAAUUUUGCAAAGGCUUGGAGGUCGCUAGAAAUUUCCAAUUUCCAACUUUGAGAUAGGUUAUUAUUUUUUUCUUCCAAUUUAUUUGUUUAAAUUUGGGUAAAGUGG